RNAcentral lists this long non-coding RNA (356 nucleotides) under Durio zibethinus. RNAcentral describes it as "long non-coding RNA (DZIB_LNC000109)". The record is from RNAcentral. Lineage: Eukaryota; Viridiplantae; Streptophyta; Magnoliopsida; Malvales; Malvaceae.
CGUCACCUAAGCCACGCUACUACAGACUUUGAUCUUGCAACCCUAAAGCUGCAUACUUGAAACUUUUCCUUCCUCUUUAGCAGUCCCUCAUUUGUUAAAAAGGUGCCGCCCCCUUAUUCUCAAAGGCGGCAAGAAAAAGUUGCAACCUCUUCAUGAAUGAUUGAUUAAAAGAGACAAGUUCUUCUCAGUGUAGAGCAUGGCUACAAAACGAGGGAUGGAGUUCCUAAUUGUUGAUUAGGGGUUGUGUUACUCGAUUAAAGGAUUACUGUGGAAAUCUGAUUCUCCGAUAUUAGUGUAAAUUUGAUUCUCCUACAUUAGUGCUUAAUUUAUUUUAGGAAUAUUUCUGAUUUACUCUU